RNAcentral lists this long non-coding RNA (283 nucleotides) under Dasypus novemcinctus (nine-banded armadillo). Its description in RNAcentral is "lncRNA (ENSDNOG00000051414.1)". Lineage: Eukaryota; Metazoa; Chordata; Mammalia; Cingulata; Dasypodidae. The record is from RNAcentral.
ACAGUUUUCAUAUUCUACCUUUAUUAUUUAUUCAGUCCUUUAUAUGAUUGCCUGUAUGAUGCUACUUACAAAAGCUUUGUCAUGAUCAUGCUAUAUAAUAUAUAUCUUUGUUGUCAGACCCCCGAGGAGGAUCUUGACCUUGAUGCAGAACCGACCACAGAAGAUACCACGGAAGAAGGCAAAUGUGACUCAACCUUGCCUGAGACAAAAUCAGCUACCCCAGUAGAGGUAAGAAAAAUUCAUGUUGGUUGAUUUUCUUUCAUGCUUAUAUGAGCUGCAUUUG